UACGUAGGGGGCAAGCGUUGUCCGGAUUUACUGGGCGUAAAGAGCGCGUAGGUGGAAGCGCCAGUCCGGCCUGAAAGCCCCCGGCUCAACCGGGGAGAGUGGCUGGAAACUGCGUUUCUUGAGGGCGAGAGAGGAGGGUGGAAUUCCUGGUGUAGCGGUGAAAUGCGCAGAUAUCAGGAGGAACACCGGUGGCGAAGGCGGGUCUCUGGGCCGAUACUGACGCUGAGGAGCGAAAGCGUGGGGAGCAAACAGG
RNAcentral lists this ribosomal RNA (253 nucleotides) under uncultured bacterium. RNAcentral's name for it is "partial 16S ribosomal RNA". It matches the Rfam family "Bacterial small subunit ribosomal RNA", at positions 524 to 776 of the family's 1533-position model. The record is from RNAcentral.